CUACUCCUACGGGAGGCAGCAGUAGGGAAUCUUCCGCAAUGGACGAAAGUCUGACGGAGCAACGCCGCGUGAGUGAUGAAGGCUUUCGGGUCGUAAAACUCUGUUGUUAGGGAAGAACAAGUGCUAGUUGAAUAAGCUGGCACCUUGACGGUACCUAACCAGAAAGCCCGACUGCGCUAACUACGUGCCAGCAGCCGCGGUAUAAAA
Molecule: ribosomal RNA, 207 nt
Filed under: uncultured Bacillus sp.
Lineage: Bacteria; Bacillati; Bacillota; Bacilli; Caryophanales; Bacillaceae
Description: partial 16S ribosomal RNA
Rfam family: Bacterial small subunit ribosomal RNA
Source: RNAcentral